AACCCUUGUCACUAGUUGUCCAUCAUUUGGUUGGGCACUCUAGUGAGACUGCCGGUGGCAAACCGGAGGAAGGUGGGGAUGACGUCAAGUCCUCAUGGCCCUUAUGGGUAGGGCUUCACACGUCAUACAAUGGUCGGUACAGAGGGUUGCCAAGCCGCGAGGUGGAGCCAAUCCCUUAAAGCCGAUCGUAGUCCGGAUCGUAGUCUGCAACUCGACUACGUGAAGUCGGAAUCGCUAGUAAUCGCAGAUCAGCAUGCUGCGGUGAAUACGUUCCCGGGUCUU
Molecule: ribosomal RNA, 282 nt
Filed under: uncultured Thauera sp.
Lineage: Bacteria; Pseudomonadati; Pseudomonadota; Betaproteobacteria; Rhodocyclales; Zoogloeaceae
Description: partial 16S ribosomal RNA
Rfam family: Bacterial small subunit ribosomal RNA
Source: RNAcentral